Molecule: long non-coding RNA, 2014 nt
Filed under: Equus asinus (donkey)
Lineage: Eukaryota; Metazoa; Chordata; Mammalia; Perissodactyla; Equidae
Description: lncRNA (ENSEASG00005028808.1)
Source: RNAcentral
CGCUGACUGCAAGGAGCAUAAGGGCCCUCACUGCUGGACUCUGAAAUCCAUCACUGUGUUAGUCCCUGAGCCAUGUGCCCAUGGGCUGCUCCCAGCCAAUGCCUGAGUGCCCAGGAGUACUUAGACAGGCUGGUUGCUAGGAGACAGGGGAAUCUUCUGAUGAGCAGCACUGGCUCAGGACUCCCAACUACUUUGCCAAACUUCCCCUGGGACUGUAGGGCAAGUCUAAUAUACUUCCACCCAACUUUACUUCCUUAAUUUCCUCUCCUUCACCCAAGGUCAGACCAGCAUCAGGUUCUAACACUCUCCCAGCAACCCCCCCUACCCCAGCUCCCUCCCCAUUUUCUCUUACAGGUGCUUUUCCUAAUAGAUUUCUCACACAUUUAAGCCCAUCUGUGUCUGCUUCUCAGAGGACCCGGAAUAACCUAAGGGGCCCUGGGAGUGGUCCAAGGAAACAAGAGGUAAGAUGGGGACGUGAGACUGGUUCAUCCACCACACGGCAGGUGAGGGGACACAGUCCUGGUUGCUAGGUGAGGCACAGAUGGUCCCUGGAGUAAGGUGGUGACUUAAUUAAAAAGAUUUCAUCAGUGGCGACCUGGGAAAACAUCCUGGUGGAGGGGAAUGCUGUGGCAGUUUCAAUGAUGCAAACGUUUGAAAAAUAUGGGGAACAAUGCCUCUCAGACUAGGGAGUUGGCUGGUUACUACUAAGUUGUAUUAAUACCCUGCAGAAGGAUAAUGAGAGAGCGAGGGCAUUGAACAAGCAGUCAGUGGCGAAGCGUGAGGGUCAUCACACCUAGUGGCAGCUUACACAGAGGUCCUGAUCACCUGUGAGUAGAGGGCAAAACCAAUUGAAGAGCAUGCUGGAGCCCUGAGAACUGCAAAGCUCCAGAGAUAUUUGAAUCAAGCUCAAGCAAGGCUGGUCUGUGAUAUGAAGGACAGCAUCUUGGUGUGAAAACCUGGGACCCUGAAAUAUGAGACAGGGACAUGUGGAUGGGUGCCCCUGAGGAUACUGAGUCUGCUGGCUCCCAAGCCAUAUCUAUGGUUAAGUGCCCGCAUAACCCAGCUGGAGAUGUGGUGGGCCCAGUAAGGGAGGAAACUGACUAUGCACUUAGCAAGUCGCAAGAAUUACUGCUAUGUAACGACAGGAGCUUGGGGUCUAUCCCCGGGAUUGGAUUUUGAGGAGACUUGAUCAAAGGAGCCAGAAGAUAACACUGGAUAAGCAAGAAUUCAUGGACUUGGGGGCACUUUUUUGGGAAAUGGGAUUUAACAUUCCAGGAGGCACCCCAGGGUGAGGCAACCACCGCAGCUGGCUGUUAGAAGCCUGGAAAAACAACGGUCAACCUCAGGGAAGUGGAACUUCCUGAAUUAUCCUGACAAAUGGUAGGGGAAGAAGAGUCUGAGGGACAAGGCAUGUUGGAACUAUCAUAACAUAUAAAAGGCCAGAAGCCCGACCAGAAGACACAUCGUUCUCCAAGGCCAUCUGGAAUGCACUGGAGAGGAGCACAGCAUCGCUAGUUCAGCGGGAGCCUCCUCUGCAGAACAGGACAAGUUCUCUGCCGCCUCCUUCCCUGCGUGCUGGCCUUCCAGGGCCCAUCCAGCCUCCACCUCCGUGUCCUGCAAUCACUGCUGUCCUCCAACCUUGGAGGGACCCGUUCAUGGGCAGAGGCAGGGUCAGGCCUCAGCAUCCCACAGCAUCUUGGGGCAGGGCAUGGAAGCAGCUGUCACUGCUUGGGCUGGCAGUAUUACGGUAUACCUGGUGGGUGACACACCAGAGGCUGUGUCUUGAUGGAGGUUGUGGAGCCAGCCCUGCCUAUGGGAGACAAGCAAUGAGUGAAGUUCUGUAUGACGUCCUGCUCAGAGUUCUGACUCAGUAGGUCUGAGGUCCUGCAUUUCUACCAAGUUCCACGCUGCUGCUCUGGUCUAUGGACCACACUUUGAGUGACAGGAGUUUAGAUCACCUUUUCCUGGGAUUCAGUGACGUGGGAAGAAGGGACGAGAAUAACACCAGGUGGAG